CAGUCUGCAACUCGACUGCACGAAGUCGGAAUUGCUAGUAAUCGCGGAUCAGCAUGCCGCGGUGAAUACGUUCCCGGGCCUUGUACACACCGCCCGUCACACCAUGAGAGUCGGGAACACCCGAAGUCGGUAGUCUAACCUCGUGAGGACGCCGCCGAAGGUGGGCUUGAUAAUUGGGGUGAAGUCGUAACAAGGUACC
RNAcentral lists this ribosomal RNA (199 nucleotides) under uncultured bacterium. Its description in RNAcentral is "partial 16S ribosomal RNA". It matches the Rfam family "Bacterial small subunit ribosomal RNA", at positions 1301 to 1500 of the family's 1533-position model. The record is from RNAcentral.